Molecule: ribosomal RNA, 738 nt
Filed under: uncultured bacterium
Lineage: Bacteria
Description: bacterial SSU rRNA
Rfam family: Bacterial small subunit ribosomal RNA
Source: RNAcentral
ACGAACGCUGGCGGCAUGCUUAACACAUGCAAGUCGAACGGACUGAUUCCCUUCGGGGAUGAAAGUUAGUGGCGAACGGGUGAGUAAUGUAUGAGCAACCUGCCUCUGUCAACGGGAUAACAGCCGGAAACGACUGCUAAUACGGUAUAUGACCACGGCACCGCAUGGUGCAGCGGUAAAAGAUUUUAUCGGACAGAGAUGGGCUCAUAUCCCAUUAGGUAGUUGGUGAGAUAACAGCCCACCAAGCCGACGAUGGGUAGCCGAGCUGAGAGGCUGAUCGGCCACAUUGGGACUGAAACACGGCCCAGACUCCUACGGGAGGCAGCAGUGGGGAAUAUUGGGCAAUGGAGGCAACUCUGACCCAGCAAUGCCGCGUGAGCGAUGAAGGUAGUUUUAUUGUAAAGCUCUUUUCUCUGGAACGAACAAAUGACGGUACCAGAGGAAUAAGCCCCGGCUAACUACGUGCCAGCAGCCGCGGUAAUACGUAGGGGGCGAGCGUUGUCCGGAAUGACUGGGCGUAAAGGGUGUGUAGGUGGUUUGAUAAGUUAGAUGUGUAAUACCCAGGGCUUAACUCGGGUGCUGCAUCUAAAACUGUUAGACUUGAGUACUGGAGAGGAUAGUGGAAUUCCUAGUGUAGCGGUGGAAUGCGUAGAUAUUAGGAGGAACAUCAGUGGCGAAGGCGACUAUCUGGACAGCAACUGACACUGAGGCACGAAAGCGUGGGGAGCAAACAGGAUU